RNAcentral lists this long non-coding RNA (633 nucleotides) under Medicago truncatula (barrel medic). RNAcentral describes it as "long non-coding RNA (MTRU_LNC005227)". The record is from RNAcentral. Lineage: Eukaryota; Viridiplantae; Streptophyta; Magnoliopsida; Fabales; Fabaceae.
UAAAACAUAUCAAGAAUCCAUAUAUGAAUCUCUCUAUCAAUCGGCGAUUUUCUUGCUUGCGUUAGAAAUUACUACUCAAGAAAAUAGCAUCAUUCUUUGUCCAUUUCUACUGGGAACUGUACAUAUGACAACUGACACUGACAAUUCAGAAAACGAGGUACAAGUAUACCUAGAUAAUAUGUGAUCAAUAUAUUAUACUUAUAUUAUAGGUGAUGGGUAAAUAUUGAUUAAAUUAUUAUAAAAUACAACUUUAAAGAAAAUUGCGGUUUUAUUUGACCAACAAAUUAAAUGUGUUCUUAGGAAGGUAUAUCUGUUGUUUAAAAAUACUGAAGCAAAAGGAAAAUUUGAAAGCCACAACUUAGUUAUUUUUGUACUGAUGCAAAUAAUGACUCUGAAAUAUCAAAAUCAAAGUGGUCACCUUCUAAAUUAAAUUCUGUCCUGUUGGAAAAGCCAAGAAUGAGGUAGAAAUACUCAAGAUUUUUUUAUGGUUGUUGCAGUAACAACGUAUUUUUGUACUUUUUUUUUCUCCAAUUUUUUGUUUGAUUAUAACCACUACAUUAUUAUGGUACUGAAUAAGUACAAACCGUUGUACGGCCUAUUAUGUACUCAUUGAGUAGCAAUUUCCUUCACGGC